This 85-nucleotide transfer RNA is filed under the name Felis catus (domestic cat). It matches the Rfam family "tRNA". From Rfam's summary of the family: Transfer RNA (tRNA) molecules are approximately 80 nucleotides in length. Their secondary structure includes four short double-helical elements and three loops (D, anti-codon, and T loops). Further hydrogen bonds mediate the characteristic L-shaped molecular structure. tRNAs have two regions of fundamental functional importance: the anti-codon, which is responsible for specific mRNA codon recognition, and the 3' end, to which the tRNAs corresponding amino acid is attached (by aminoacyl-tRNA synthetases). tRNAs cope with the degeneracy of the genetic code in two manners: having more than one tRNA (with a specific anti-codon) for a particular amino acid; and 'wobble' base-pairing, i.e. permitting non-standard base-pairing at the 3rd anti-codon position. Lineage: Eukaryota; Metazoa; Chordata; Mammalia; Carnivora; Felidae. The record is from Rfam by way of RNAcentral.
GCCUGGGUGGCUCAGUCGGUUGAGCGUCUGACUUCAGCUCAGGUCAUGAUCUCACAGUUUGUGAGUUCGAGCCCUGCAUCAGGCU